This 242-nucleotide ribosomal RNA is filed under the name uncultured bacterium. RNAcentral describes it as "partial 16S ribosomal RNA". It matches the Rfam family "Bacterial small subunit ribosomal RNA", at positions 524 to 764 of the family's 1533-position model. The record is from RNAcentral.
UACGUAGGGUGCGAGCGUUAAUCGGAAUUACUGGGCGUAAAGCGUGCGCAGGCGGUUCACUAAGUCGGAUGUGAAAGCCCUGGGCUCAACCCAGGAAGUGCACUCGAAACUGGCGGGCUAGAGUAUCGGAGAGGUUGGUGGAAUUCUCGGUGUAGAGGUGAAAUUCGUAGAUAUCGAGAGGAGCACCGGUGGCGAAGGGCGGCCAACUGGACCCAGUACUGAGCUGAGGCGCGAAAGCCGUG